CCCUUAGAUGUCCUGGGCUGCACGCGCGCUACACUGAUGUGUCCAGUAAGCACCUAACCUAUUCCGAGAGGAGCGGGUAACCUUAGCAAAGCACAUCGUGAUGGGGAUAGAUUAUUGCAAUUAUUAGUCUUGAACGAGGAAUUCCUAGUAAGCACAAGUCAUCAGCUUGUGUUGAUUGCGUCCCUGCCCUUUGUACACACCGCCCGUCGCUCCUACCGAUUGAAUGUUCCGGUGAGCUCUUCGGACUGCGCGGUCUGCAGUUUCUGCGUUCCGUGCGGAAAGUUGUGCAAACCUUAACAUUUAGAGGAAGGAGAAGUCGUAACA
This 324-nucleotide ribosomal RNA is filed under the name uncultured eukaryote. RNAcentral describes it as "partial 18S ribosomal RNA". It matches the Rfam family "Eukaryotic small subunit ribosomal RNA", at positions 1470 to 1796 of the family's 1831-position model. The record is from RNAcentral.